AGUUAUAGUUUGUUUGAUGGUACGUGCUACUCGGAUAACCGUACUAAUUCUAGAGAUAAUACGUGUAACAAACCACGACUUCUGGGAGGGGCGCAUUUAUUAGAUAAAACGCUGACGCGGGCUCUGCUCGCUCAUCCGGUGAUUCAUGUUAACUCGACGGAUCGCACGGCCCCACAACGACGAAGCACACCAACCGGACU
Molecule: ribosomal RNA, 200 nt
Filed under: Triticum aestivum (bread wheat)
Lineage: Eukaryota; Viridiplantae; Streptophyta; Magnoliopsida; Poales; Poaceae
Description: rRNA SSU_rRNA_eukarya
Source: RNAcentral